UUGACAUGCAGAGAAUUUCCAGAGAUGGAUUGGUGCCUUCGGGAACGUCUGACACAGGUGCUGCAUGGCUGUCGUCAGCUCGUGUCGUGAGAUGUUGGGUUAAGUCCCGUAACGAGCGCAACCCUUGUCCUUAGUUACCAGCACGUUAUGGUGGGCACUCUAAGGAGACUGCCGGUGACAAACCGGAGGAGAUGGAGAUGACGUCAAGUCAUCAUGGCCCUUACGGCCUGGGCUACACACGUGCUACAAUGGUCGGUACAAAGGGUUGCCAAGCCGCGAGGUGGAGCUAAUCCCAUAAAACCGAUCGUAGUCCGGAUCGCAGUCUGCAACUCGACUGCGUGAAGUCGGAAUCGCUAGUAAUCGUGAAUCAGAAUGUCACGGUGAAUACGUUCCCGGGCCUU
RNAcentral lists this ribosomal RNA (401 nucleotides) under uncultured Pseudomonas sp. RNAcentral's name for it is "bacterial SSU rRNA". It matches the Rfam family "Bacterial small subunit ribosomal RNA", at positions 981 to 1382 of the family's 1533-position model. The record is from RNAcentral. Lineage: Bacteria; Pseudomonadati; Pseudomonadota; Gammaproteobacteria; Pseudomonadales; Pseudomonadaceae.